GAUAGAGUGACUGAAAAUAAUAGGUGAUAAAUUGUAAAUUUAUUUAUGGUAUAAUACCCUCUAUCA
RNAcentral lists this transfer RNA (66 nucleotides) under Chalcopis glandulosa. Its description in RNAcentral is "tRNA-Tyr". The record is from RNAcentral. Lineage: Eukaryota; Metazoa; Arthropoda; Insecta; Hemiptera; Pentatomidae.